GUGGGGAAUAUUGGACAAUGGGCGCAAGCCUGAUCCAGCCAUGCCGCGUGAGUGAUGAAGGCCCUAGGGUUGUAAAGCUCUUUUGUCCGGGAAGAUAAUGACUGUACCGGAAGAAUAAGCCCCGGCUAACUUCGUGCCAGCAGCCGCGGUAAUACGAAGGGGGCUAGCGUUGUUCGGAAUCACUGGGCGUAAAGCGCACGUAGGCGGACCAUUAAGUCAGGGGUGAAAGCCUGGAGCUCAACUCCAGAACUGCCUUUGAGACUGAUGGUCUCGAGUAUGGAAGAGGUUGGUGGAACUGCGAGUGUAGAGGUGAAAUUCGUAGAUAUUCGCAAGAACACCGGUGGCGAAGGCGGCCAACUGGUCCAUUACUGACGCUGAGGUGCGAAAGCGUGGGGAGCAAACAGGAUUAGAAACCCGAGUAGUCC
Molecule: ribosomal RNA, 425 nt
Filed under: uncultured bacterium
Lineage: Bacteria
Description: partial 16S ribosomal RNA
Rfam family: Bacterial small subunit ribosomal RNA
Source: RNAcentral